Molecule: ribosomal RNA, 425 nt
Filed under: uncultured bacterium
Lineage: Bacteria
Description: partial 16S ribosomal RNA
Rfam family: Bacterial small subunit ribosomal RNA
Source: RNAcentral
GAAUUUUGGACAAUGGGCGCAAGCCUGAUCCAGCCAUGCCGCGUGAGUGAAGAAGGCCUCCGGGUUGUAAAGCUCUUUCGGACGGAAAGAAAUCGCGCAGGCUAAUACCGUGCGAGGACGACGGUACCUGCAUAAGAAGCACCGGCUAACUACUGGCCAGCAGACGCGGUAAUACGUAGGGAGCGAGCGGUAGUCGGAAUUACUGGGCGGAAAGCGUACGCAGGCGGUUGAUUAAGACAGGCGUGAAAUCCCCGGGCUUAACCUGGGAACUGCGCUUGUGACUGGUCUGCUAGAGUACGGCAGAGGGGGGUGGAAUUCCACGUGUAGAAGUGAAAUGCGUAGAGAUGUGGAGGAACACCGAUAGCGAAGGCAGCCCCCUGGGCCGAUACUGACGCUCAUGCACGAAAGCGUGGGUAGCAAACAGG